AUUGAACGCUGGCGGCAUGCCUUACACAUGCAAGUCGAACGGUAACAGGUCUUCGGAUGCUGACGAGUGGCGAACGGGUGAGUAAUACAUCGGAACGUGCCUAGUAGUGGGGGAUAACUACUCGAAAGAGUGGCUAAUACCGCAUGAGAUCUACGGAUGAAAGCAGGGGAUCGAAAGACCUUGUGCUAUGAGAGCGGCCGAUGGCAGAUUAGGUAUUUGGUGGGAUAAAAGCUUACCAAGCCGACGAGCUGUAGCUGGUCUGAGAGGACGAUCAGCCACACUGGGACUGAGACACGGCCCAGACUCCUACGGGAGGCAGCAGUGGGGAAUUUUGGACAAUGGGCGCAAGCCUGAUCCAGCAAUGCCGCGUGCAGGAUGAAGGCCUUCGGGUUGUAAACUGCUUUUGUACGGAACGAAAAGCCCUGGGUUAAUACCCUGGGGUCAUGACGGUACCGUAAGAAUAAGCACCGGCUAACUACGUGCCAGCCGCCGCUGUAA
RNAcentral lists this ribosomal RNA (498 nucleotides) under uncultured bacterium. RNAcentral describes it as "partial 16S ribosomal RNA". It matches the Rfam family "Bacterial small subunit ribosomal RNA", at positions 30 to 523 of the family's 1533-position model. The record is from RNAcentral.